RNAcentral lists this long non-coding RNA (553 nucleotides) under Mytilus galloprovincialis (Mediterranean mussel). Lineage: Eukaryota; Metazoa; Mollusca; Bivalvia; Mytilida; Mytilidae. The record is from RNAcentral.
UUAUUAUUUUCUAUUACUUACAUAAAUAACAACAAGAAUAUAAGAAUAUUUUGAUACUAAAAGGGGUUUGAAAGUACAGUAUAGGUUGCACUUUGUAAAUCACGUGUGAUUUGCAAGUCACGCCUCUUUUGGGGAGAAAUUGAAUGUGCAUUAAAUACUGCUACUGUUUACAUAGUUGUUGCCAUGGAUGCAAAGUAAUUUUUUUUUAAUUAAGACUUGAUUGGAGAAUUAAAUGGAUAUAAAUAAAAAUGUCUAUUUAUUUAACUUAUUUUUCAGGAGGACUGGAAGACAUUUGGGUGUUGAGUCAAAUUUAAUGGAAAAAUUCAGUGCGAACCUGCAAUGUUUAUAAAUGGAGGGCAGUAAAACUUGAAAAUAUGCCGCACAGCUAUAUGUUUUUAUUAGUGCAAAAAAAGGUAGUGCAUGUCUCCUUUCCAGGGAAAUAUAACAUUCUCCUCAAAACUUCCUGAAUGAAGAGUGACUGCAUAUGCAAUUUAGGCAGUUCCUAUGGAAAACUGCAUUGCUGGUUUUACACAAGUGCAACCUAAAGCGCAAG